Molecule: long non-coding RNA, 1203 nt
Organism: Gallus gallus (chicken)
Lineage: Eukaryota; Metazoa; Chordata; Aves; Galliformes; Phasianidae
Source: Ensembl
CUCAGCUACAACAACCAAACAUUGGCAUGCCUUUAACAGUCUGAGUUUAAACCAGGGCAUGGAGAUGGUGCUGUGCUGUGGUUGGCUCAAGUUAUGGCAAGUGUCUGCCAUCAGAUCCCUCACCAUGAAAGGCCUGCAUGCUGAUGGACUCGAGGUGUCUGCCAUCAGAUCCCUCACUAUGGACUGCAUGCUGACAGACUUCCCUGGGCCUGCUACCUGAGACCUGCUGCUUCCUCCCGGACUUACUCUGCGGCUUCUUCCUGGACCCACCCGGUACCUGCACCCUCUCAUUGCCCAAGACCAGCCUCGCUGCUCCUGCCCUUCGGCCUCGGACCAUUGGAACGGCGUGUAAUGGGCCGUGUAACGGGACUACUGCUGGAUCCUGGUGGUGACUAUCCCCGCUUUACGCAAUUCUUGCUUCUUUCUAUCUUUUCUAUCACCCACCUUCCCUUCCCCAUCACCCCAAUCCGUAAUAGUGUCUGUCCUCCCCUUUCUUCAUUUCCUUUAUUAACAUUUGUAAUAAACUGGUCCGACCAACAUUUGAACCGUUGCUUCUUAAUCUCAUGCCGGGUAUACAUACAUCAAAGAACCUCCUCUCCCUCCUAUAAAUUGGAGCGAGGCACAUACACACAGGGCAUGAUGGAUCUGAGUGUGUACAACUGUCACAAGAGGCAGUCAGCACUGCGCUGCACCCUCUCCAACCCCUGGUUCUAGCCCAGGCAGUCCCAGUCACAAAGCAAUAGUCUGAUUGCUGAGUGAUAGGAACCCACCUGGGGCAGAGCCAUUGCCAUGACGGUGUGUCGCAGGGGUUGCAUGGGCUGCAUUGCAAGCUGUGCUGGGCCGCAUGUGGUCUGUGGGCCACUGGUUAGACAUGCCUGAGAUGUUGUUGAAGCUGUUAAAUAUCAUACCUUUGUGAACCAAACGUCAUAGGUCAAACUCAACAAUAGAAGAUGAAAAUAACACUGACUACAUAUGAGCUUUAUCAACUUACCUGAGGCAAGACUGAAGUAAUUAUAAUUUUAUACAAUGCAUAUAAUUUUGGAGUUUUAGAAGUAGGCAAUUAUAAACAGUUUCUCAGAAUUACGUAAGAGUUUGGAAGACUGAAAAGAACAACUUGAUCUUGUAGCUGGUUAAGAUAAUAUUGGUUCUCUGCAGGUUGUUUUAUUUAUUUUAGUGACGUUUCAGUGAUGCUUCUACACAUUU